This 73-nucleotide transfer RNA is filed under the name Mustela putorius furo (domestic ferret). It matches the Rfam family "tRNA". Rfam says of the family: Transfer RNA (tRNA) molecules are approximately 80 nucleotides in length. Their secondary structure includes four short double-helical elements and three loops (D, anti-codon, and T loops). Further hydrogen bonds mediate the characteristic L-shaped molecular structure. tRNAs have two regions of fundamental functional importance: the anti-codon, which is responsible for specific mRNA codon recognition, and the 3' end, to which the tRNAs corresponding amino acid is attached (by aminoacyl-tRNA synthetases). tRNAs cope with the degeneracy of the genetic code in two manners: having more than one tRNA (with a specific anti-codon) for a particular amino acid; and 'wobble' base-pairing, i.e. permitting non-standard base-pairing at the 3rd anti-codon position. The record is from Rfam by way of RNAcentral. Lineage: Eukaryota; Metazoa; Chordata; Mammalia; Carnivora; Mustelidae.
UCCCGGCUGGCUUAGUUGUUGGAGCAUGUGACUCUUAAUCUCAGGGUUGUGAGUUCAAGGCUCACACUGGGUG